RNAcentral lists this unclassified non-coding RNA (2583 nucleotides) under Homarus americanus (American lobster). RNAcentral describes it as "uncharacterized LOC121860613, transcript variant X2". The record is from RNAcentral. Lineage: Eukaryota; Metazoa; Arthropoda; Malacostraca; Decapoda; Nephropidae.
CAAUCAGCGUCUUUGUUGUUGUUUUACCCCCAGACCAGACUGAACUGUCCCAAACAAUGAGACAAUAUAUCCCUUCUUUAUGAGCUCAUGAUGCAGAAUGGAUACGGAUGGGCAACAGAAAGGCAUAAAUGACCAAGUAGGCCAUACACUCACAGAUCAACCUUUGCCCCAAUUCACCUCUGCUGAUCAAGAUGCCACUGAUUCACCUUCAUUUACCAAGCAAAGCUUUGCAGAAAACAAUGAAUUUCGACUCAGUCCCAUUCACUUCGAAGAUAAAGAAGGAGAGAUUAACGGAGAACCUCGUAUAAAUAAGGCAUGGAAGGUUGAACAACUGAAAGACAGAGCCAAAAAUGGAGAUGACACACAGAAGGCACCAGCACCAGAGGAUGAGGUGGAAGAAGAGGGGGAUUUUGAAGCGGCAUCUGAGAUAUCUUUCUUAAAAGAUACAGCUCUCACAUCCUCACCAUCACGAAGCUUUAAAAGCUCCUAUGCAAAAUCUUUGGCCGAUUCUUAUAGACGCGCAAGUUUGCCGGUUUUCAUUUCUGCACCGAAAGGACAGUUUUACUUUAAAAAUGAAGAAUUCCUUAGUUUAAAUUCCAGUCAAGUAAAACGGUCAACUCUUAAUCAAGAUAAAUUUUUGAGUCUAAAUUCAAGUGCCAAUAAGACUGUACCUCCUCCCACCCCUGAGUCAGCAUCACUUCCCACCACACUAGACAUUGUACCGGAAGCACAGGACCAACAGGCAGGGCUGGGAAAAUCUGACCUGAAUGUUGUUCCUGCGGACAUAUAUCAGCAGCUGUUAGUGAACGGGGAUAUUUUUGUCCCAUAUGAGCGACUCCAUAGUUUGUGUGAAGGUGGAAGUUUCUCUCUCCAGGACUGGCACAAGUCUGUCUCUACUAAUGAUGGCAGGAAACUCAUCAAUCUUUCAGAGCUGAGAGGAAAGUGGAAUAAGAAGCAGGAUGUAUUGUCUCUGAAUGGUCAUGGGACACAACUUGGUCCAGAUAAAGAUGCUCCGGUUGAGAGCUCGUUCAUGGAGCAUGAACAGCUUAAGGGUCGUAUUGAACAGCUAUGUGAGGUGUUAGCCGACCGAGAUACCACCAUACAGCGCCUGGAGGAGGACCUACUGCGUAUCAGAAUGGAGUGUCAACGGCUAAUAGUUGAUAACCGAAGUUUGAAAAGCAAUAUAAGUCACUCAGGAGCACAGUCUGCUGGAAGUGACUCUGCACCAGAGGUGUCUAAGUUACAGCAGCAGGUGCAGCUACUGACGGCACAGCUCAAUAAGGCUGAACGUAGUCGUCACACAUAUGAGGCUGCAACACGGCAGCUAGUGGACUUCUUACACACAGUUAAUUCUACCUUGAAUAUGACGUCUAAUCAUAGUACAACUACAAGUCCCGCUACAAGCCCCACUACCUCCUUUAACUCCAUCACAAGCCCUGCCCUGUCUCUACACACAAUCACUCCUACGUCACCAGAUGAUGAUGUUGAUGGAGAUCCACCUUAUAGGUUGGCACACCCAAAGUUUCCGUCUCCGGACUUAUUACCAAGCUCUACUUCCCACACUUUUGGACCUAUUAGAAGAAAUUCAGAUGCAGUUCGAAAAUCAGGAAGUGUGUGGGCUCUUCCCACUCAGUCAGGAAAUCCUCGUAGGGUGAGCCGUGCUCUCAGCACCCAUUGUGUGGCAUCUGCAGCAACAGGAACCAGCCAUAAUAAUUCUGUAGCCUCAGCAAGCCAUGAGAGAGGACGUACACUCACCUCUGACUUCUUGGCAUCCCGGGCCAGGGAACUUAUCGCCUCUCUCAAGUCACUAAUGAGGAGUGAUAGUGUAUUGAAGCUCAACUUGGAACCAAAGAAAUCAGUAUCUUCAGUAAAUAAUGGCAGCAGCACCACCAGAAGUACGAAGAGUGAAGGGAACUGUGCUGUCCUUCCACCCGAUACAAAUCAGUUUAAGGCAGUUGCGAGGCAAGCUGUUGCCGAGCACCAAAACAGCGGACACGGAGACGCUAGGCAUCACUACGAGAGAGACAAGGACCAACAUGUUAUGGUACCAAGUGAGAGUGAUGCUAGUCCAGAAGUAAACCAAAAUUUUAGAAGCACAGACACCACCACAGUGGUUCCAAGAAUAGAUGACAGUGCAAUCAGGGAGGAUACAUUACAGACACAGACAUCCAUGCAGAUGAACGGUAACCCACAGCCUCUAAGCUUAAUGGUGGUGGGUGAGUCGUCAUCAACUCUUGAUGAGCGUCACUUCUCUUCCCUCCCAAAUCGGAACCAUGUACCUGUACCAAGAACUCUCAACGACUCUGACCAUCGUCUCGUCUGGGUGUGACCUCGUCACUUGAAAAUGUUUACCGAGUGUCACGACAACCACUUUGGCUUACAGUAUAGGAGACCUUGCACUCAGCUUUGGUGAUGUUCUUUAGUGAAAAUGUUCUUCUUAAAGAAACCUACCCUUCUGCAGAAGCCUUCAGUUGCCAGUUGUACUAUGAACUAUAGAGGAGAGUUAUGUCAGCAGUCAAACCUAGGCAUCUACUCGCUAUCAAUGACGGGGAACACAAAAAGGUGAGUGAAUGUUUCUCGCAU